UGCCAGCCCGCUCAGAACUUAAAGGAAUUGACGGGGCCGCACAAGCGGAGGAGCAUGUGGUUUAAUUCGAUGAUACGCGAGGAACUUACCUGGGCUCGAACGUAAGAUGACUGUAGGUGAAAGCUUACAUCUCUUCGGAGCAUUUUACGAGGUGCUGCAUGGUUGUCGUCAGCUCGUGCCGUGAGGUGUCGGGUUAAGUCCCAUAACGAGCGCAACCCCUACCUUUAGUUGCCAUCAGGUAAUGCUGGGGACUCUAAAGGAACUGCCUACGCAAGUAGUGAGGAAGGCGGGGAUGACGUCAAAUCAGCACGGCCCUUACGUCCAGGGCUACACACGUGCUACAAUGGCCGAUACAGAGGGCAGCUACCUGGUGACAGGAUGCAAAUCUCCAAAGUCGGUCUCAGUUCGGAUCGGAGUCUGCAACCCGACUCCGUGAAGUUGGAUUCGCUAGUAAUCGCGCAUCAGCCAUGGCGCGGUGAAUACGUUCCCGGGCCUU
Molecule: ribosomal RNA, 496 nt
Filed under: uncultured Sphingobacteriales bacterium
Lineage: Bacteria; Pseudomonadati; Bacteroidota; Sphingobacteriia; Sphingobacteriales
Description: bacterial SSU rRNA
Rfam family: Bacterial small subunit ribosomal RNA
Source: RNAcentral